CUCCUGGAAAACGGGUGGUAAUGCCGGAUGCUCCAGUUGAUCGCAUGGUCUUCUGGGAAAGCUUUCGCGGUAUGGGAUGGGGUCGCGUCCUAUCAGCUUGACGGCGGGGUAACGGCCCACCGUGGCUUCGACGGGUAGCCGGCCUGAGAGGGCGACCGGCCACAUUGGGACUGAGAUACGGCCCAGACUCCUACGGGAGGCAGCAGUGGGGAAUAUUGCACAAUGGGCGCAAGCCUGAUGCAGCGACGCCGCGUGAGGGAUGGAGGCCUUCGGGUUGUAAACCUCUUUUAUCGGGGAGCAAGCGAGAGUGAGUUUACCCGUUGAAUAAGCACCGGCUAACUACGUGCCAGCAGCCGCGGUAAUACGUAGGGUGCAAGCGUUAUCCGGAAUUAUUGGGCGUAAAGGGCUCGUAGGCGGUUCGUCGCGUCCGGUGUGAAAGUCCAUCGCUUAACGGUGGAUCCGCGCCGGGUACGGGCGGGCUUGAGUGCGGUAGGGGAGACUGGAAUUCCCGGUGUAACGGUGGAAUGUGUAGAUAUCGGAAAAGAACACCA
This 551-nucleotide ribosomal RNA is filed under the name Bifidobacterium longum subsp. suillum. RNAcentral describes it as "bacterial SSU rRNA". It matches the Rfam family "Bacterial small subunit ribosomal RNA", at positions 147 to 711 of the family's 1533-position model. Lineage: Bacteria; Bacillati; Actinomycetota; Actinomycetes; Bifidobacteriales; Bifidobacteriaceae. The record is from RNAcentral.